UAUUCACCUCAUCCCUCCAUUGCACACAAAACUUCCCCCAAAUCAGAACUUCUGCCGCCUCACCCAGCUUCACACCUCGCGACGUCGACCAGCCAUCCCUCCGGCGCCACCAUCGCACCGCUGUCAGUGUGUUUUCCUCCACGUCGUCUCUCUCUUCACCGCACUGCCACCGCUGCCACGAAUUCGCCGUCGCGGAUCCGCCGCCAUCGGCUCCUCCCUCCAUCAUCUUCUCCUCUCCAUUCCUCUCUCUCGGCUCCCCCUCUCUCUUCUCUCUCUCUGAUAUGCCGCCACCGAUUGUGCAUGCACAAGCGGUGGCUUCGGCCUCCUCGCCUCGCCGUUGCUGCACACGGCGGCAACCCACCGCUGCUGCCCCCCUCUCCGUCGGUUCUCACCGUCGCCGUAUCGACAAAUUCAAAAGAAUGAAAACAUACAGACGGUUUUGGAGCGUGGGCUGUCACCGUCGGCGACGGAGUGCCGAGCUCGCUGCCGGAAGCCUCUCCGGUAGACUCCUAUGUCAUUUCAAGCUAAGUUCCUAUUAUCCUUUGAGGAUCUGUCAUUUUUAUGUUCUUGAGAUGCUAUAGCAACUAUGUUCUUGAGGUGUUAAAUUGCAUAUAUGCAAUAUGUUGUAAUAUGUGGAAAAAAAAGUGAGGUGUUGAUGGUACUCACCUCUGUGGUAUGAAGAAGAAAAUGACUUGUUGUUUUUGGACUUUUCCUCUAUGAUGUAGACGUCCUAUUCCCUACUAUGGUGGAAGGAUUCUUGCUGCCUUUUUGGAGAUGAGUAAAUUUUUGUAGGAGGGUGGGGCAGGUGAAAGUGACGGUAUUUAAGGGAAAAACCAAUUCCAGUUCGGGCUGCUCUUGUUGCUGUACCCGCCUUCUUCGACGCACGAUGUAGAAAUUAAAUCUUGUUGGACUUUUGUUGAAUGUACCGGGCAUUAAGAUUUUGAUUUUGGGAUCUGACAAGUCGUAUUCUAGGCCUAGGUUACUGGUCAGUAUGAUGUGCGUAAUUGAAUUAUAUCUGCAAAAAAACUAGUUGCUUAAGCGUGCAGGGUAAG
This is a long non-coding RNA of Salvia splendens (bonfire salvia), 1052 nucleotides long. RefSeq lists it as uncharacterized. The record is from RefSeq and is a predicted model, not a curated record. Lineage: Eukaryota; Viridiplantae; Streptophyta; Magnoliopsida; Lamiales; Lamiaceae. The transcript is spliced from 3 exons.